This 253-nucleotide ribosomal RNA is filed under the name uncultured bacterium. Its description in RNAcentral is "partial 16S ribosomal RNA". It matches the Rfam family "Bacterial small subunit ribosomal RNA", at positions 524 to 776 of the family's 1533-position model. The record is from RNAcentral.
UACGUAGGGUCCGAGCGUUGUCCGGAGUUACUGGGCGUAAAGCGCGCGCAGGCGGCUCGUCAAGUCUGGCGUGAAAGCCCCCGGCUCAACCGGGGAGGGUCGUCGGAGACUGGCGAGCUUGAGGGCGGUAGGGGCUGGUGGAAUGCCUGGUGUAGUGGUGAAAUGCGUAGAGAUCAGGCGGAACACCCGUGGCGAAGGCGGCCAGCUGGGCCGUCCCUGACGCUGAGGCGCGAAGGCGUGGGGAGCGAACGGG